This 450-nucleotide ribosomal RNA is filed under the name uncultured bacterium. Its description in RNAcentral is "partial 16S ribosomal RNA". It matches the Rfam family "Bacterial small subunit ribosomal RNA", at positions 354 to 796 of the family's 1533-position model. The record is from RNAcentral.
GUGGGGAAUCUUCCGCAAUGGACGAAAGUCUGACGGAGCGACGCCGCGUGAGUGAAGAAGGCCUUCGGGUCGUAAAGCUCUGUCAUCAGGGACGAACGGCCGGUGGAGUGGAAAGCCACCGGAUUGACGGUACCUGAGAAGGAAGCCACGGCUAACUACGUGCCAGCAGCCGCGGUAAUACGUAGGUGGCAAGCGUUGUCCGGAAUUAUUGGGCGUAAAGCGCGCGCAGGUGGGAUCUUAAGUCCAUUUUUAAAGUUCGGAGCUCAACUCCGUGAUGGGAUGGGAACUGGGAUUCUUGAGUACCGGAGAGGAAAGCGGAAUUCCCCGUGUAGCGGUGAAAUGCGUAGAUAUGGGGAGGAACACCAGUGGCGAAGGCGGCUUUCUGGACGGUGUCUGACACUGAGGCGCGAAAGCCAGGGGAGCGAACGGGAUUAGAUACCCCGGUAGUCC